CGCAACUUGCGCCCUCUGGUAUUCCGGAGGGCAUGCCUGUUUGAGUGUCAUGUAGCCUCAAUCUCCCGGGUUUCCGGGAAGAUUGGACUUGGGUGUCUGCCAUGCCACAUGGCUCGCCUUAAAUGACUUAGUGGGACAACUGACUGAUGUCGGGAGUAAUAAGUUUCUCUUGACCAAGUCUAUUUGACCGCUCAUAACCUUUGUUCUCUAGAACAUAUUUAUGACUCUGACCUCAAAUCAGGUAGGACUACCCGCUGAACUUAA
This 264-nucleotide unclassified non-coding RNA is filed under the name Trimorphomycetaceae sp. RNAcentral describes it as "partial contains 5.8S ribosomal RNA, internal transcribed spacer 2, and large subunit ribosomal RNA". The stretch from base 1 to 50 matches the Rfam family "5.8S ribosomal RNA", at positions 105 to 154 of the family's 154-position model. The record is from RNAcentral. Lineage: Eukaryota; Fungi; Basidiomycota; Tremellomycetes; Tremellales; Trimorphomycetaceae.